RNAcentral lists this ribosomal RNA (208 nucleotides) under uncultured bacterium. RNAcentral describes it as "partial 16S ribosomal RNA". It matches the Rfam family "Bacterial small subunit ribosomal RNA", at positions 568 to 774 of the family's 1533-position model. The record is from RNAcentral.
CUCGUAGGCGGCCAACUAAGUCAUACGUGAAAUCCCUCAGCUUAACUGGGGAACUGCGUGUGAUACUGGAUGGCUUGGAUUUGGGAGAGGGAUGCGGAAUUCCAGGUGUAGCGGUGAAAUGCGUAGAUAUCUGGAGGAACACCGGUGGCGAAGGCGGCAUCCUGGACCAAUAUUGACGCUGAGGAGCGAAAGCCAAGGGGAGCAAACG